RNAcentral lists this ribosomal RNA (305 nucleotides) under uncultured bacterium. RNAcentral describes it as "bacterial SSU rRNA". It matches the Rfam family "Bacterial small subunit ribosomal RNA", at positions 332 to 636 of the family's 1533-position model. The record is from RNAcentral.
UUGACCCUACGGGAGGCAGCAGUGAGGAAUAUUGGUCAAUGGGCUUACGCCUGAACCAGCCAAGUCGCGUGAGGGAAGACGGUCCUAUGGAUUGUAAACCUCUUUUGUCGGGGAGCAAAAGACGCCACGCGUGGCGUUCCGAGAGUACCCGAAGAAAAAGCAUCGGCUAACUCCGUGCCAGCAGCCGCGGUAAUACGGAGGAUGCGAGCGUUAUCCGGAUUUAUUGGGUUUAAAGGGUGCGCAGGCGGAAGAUCAAGUCAGCGGUAAAAUUGAGAGGCUUAACCUCUUCGAGCCGUUGAAACUGG